This is a transfer RNA of Termitomyces sp. J132, 97 nucleotides long. It matches the Rfam family "tRNA". From Rfam's summary of the family: Transfer RNA (tRNA) molecules are approximately 80 nucleotides in length. The record is from Rfam. NCBI's taxonomy places the organism in Eukaryota, Fungi, Basidiomycota, Agaricomycetes, Agaricales, Lyophyllaceae.
GCCCGCCUAGCUCAAUCGGCCAGAGCGUCAGACUUUUAAGAAGGCGGUGAUCUUCUGAGUUAUCUGAAGGCUGCGAGUUCGACCCUCGCGGUGGGCU